AGCAACAGUAUGUGGUAAUUCCAUUUUAACAGUAUUAAUGGACAAGAUUAAUGAAUGCAUUGCUACAAAAAAUUUGACAGAUGCAGAAAACAUCUUGCAAACUGUGAUGAAAAAUUUUACUGCUGAAUUUCAUUUGCCGCUUUCUAUUCUGUCAGAAAUUAAAUCUAUAAAUAAUGAUAUAAAUUCAGUAGAAAAAGACUGUUCCAAUAUGCAGUAUGAAAUUUCUUCGCAAAAUAUAAAAAAUAGUAGGAAAAGAUCAUUUACUGAAGAUGAUUCAGAAAUUUCAAAAAGAAAAAAACUAAAUGAAUCUGAACUCUAUUCCAAUCCAUCAGUGCUUUGUAAUAGUACUUCUGGUAUACCUUCUGAGGAACCAAUGAUACCAUGUAUUGUUCAGCAUCAAAGUUCAUUUGGAAUUCAAAUGCUUCAUGACAUUAAUAGACAUGUACCUCGUUGUUUUGGUCACUAUAUUUAAAAUACUCUUCAGUAUAUUAUAAUGUUAAGAAAGCUUUGUGAUUAAUUCUUCUGAAGAUCAAAACAUAAAUUUGUUAUGACUGCCUGUUAGCUUUUCAAUGUAAUUUAUGUUCUUGGAUUGUUUGAAUUCUGAAAAUAUUUACAGUUAAGUAACUUUGGGGUUUUAAUUUAAAAUAAUUUUUGUUACUAAUAUUCAAAAAUUAUAUGAGAGUAUGUGGGAUAUAGACCAAUAAUUUCAAAACACUUGCAUGAAUGAAAUGUUUUAAAUACCGUAAGUAUAUAUUGAAGUAAGAACGUGUAUAUCAGAUAGGCAUAGUUUAUUUAUUUUUCAAUGACCUAGAUUCAUUUAUAAUUAUUUUAGUUAACUUUGCCAUUAUCGUAAACUUGUAAGCUUGAAUUCAUAGUAGAGUACUUAUCAUUUGUAAUUACUUUUAGUAGUAUAUGAGAUUAUAAACAAAUGUAUUCCAUAAAAAUUCUUCGGAUGUUGAAGAAUAGCAAUUUUGUAUAGGAGAUUGUGAUUUGCAUUAUUCAUUGCAUUUAUUAAUAGCUACUGCUGGAUAUUAAAACCUUUAAUAAUAAUUUAUAACAAUUGUAAUGUGAUAAAUUGAAUUUUUAAGAUUUAUGCAUUUCAUAAGAAUCUCCAUUUUACUGUUGCAGUAUAUUUUUUAUUUAUAGAUGUAUAUUUUAAUAUUUCAUAACUUAAAAACAUUUGUGAAGUCAAAUGUAUUGUGCUGUUGUGAUAAUAUUCAUAACUAAGAAUAUUAUUGUAUGCUAUUCACUGCUAAAAAAUAGGGUUGUUUUGCUUCCCAUGGAAGCAAUCCUUUAUCAAAAUGAACUUUUUUAAUAGUUACGUAGAAAUAUAUAAAUAUAUUAUGGCUUUUUCUAUAUGAUUAAAUGUUAUUAGUUUAGUUAGUGGCAUGAAAAAAGUUAAAGCCACAUUGGUUUAAUUUAUUGUAAAUAAAAAGUUAUAUAAUGAGUGUUGUUGUAAUGUUUUUAAUUUUGAAUUCAGUCACUUUAUAUAAUUAAUAUAUUCUCAAUAAAACAUAUAGGAACUAUAAAAAUUAAAUUAUAAAUAUGAAGAAAAAACAAAUGUCCAAAUCUUAGGAAUGAAUACAUUUGUUAGUGGCAAUAACUAGAAAGAAUAUGACAAGUCACAAUGUUGUGUAUUGCAUCACA
RNAcentral lists this unclassified non-coding RNA (1647 nucleotides) under Centruroides sculpturatus (bark scorpion). Its description in RNAcentral is "uncharacterized LOC111639897, transcript variant X3". Lineage: Eukaryota; Metazoa; Arthropoda; Arachnida; Scorpiones; Buthidae. The record is from RNAcentral.